AGAGUUUGAUCCUGGCUCAGAAUGAACGCUGGCGGCGUGCCUAACACAUGCAAGUCGGAUGUGCCGCAAGGUGCAUGGCAGACGGGUGAGUAACGCGUAGGGAAUCUACCUUUUUGUGGGGAAUAACGCUCCGAAAGGAGUGGUAAUACCGCAUGAGACCGUGGCCUGGGAUGGUUACGGUGAAACCUGGGGACCGCAAGGCCUGGGGCAAAGAGAGGAUCCUGCGUCUGAUUAGCUAGUUGGCGGGGUAAUGGCCCACCAAGGCGACGAUCAGUAGCCGGCCUGAGAGGGUGAUCGGCCACACUGGAACUGAGACACGGUCCAGACUCCUACGGGAGGCAGCAGUGGGGAAUUUUGCGCAAUGGACGAAAGUCUGACGCAGCAACGCCGCGUGGGUGAUGAAGGUCUUCGGACUGUAAAACCCUGUCGUCAGGGACGAAGGUUGAGGGGUUAAUAACCCUUCAGCUUGACGGUACCUGGAGAGGAAGCCCCGGCUAACUCUGUGCCAGCAGCCGCGGUAAUACAGAGGGGGCAAGCGUUAUUCGGAAUUAUUGGGCGUAAAGGGCGCGUAGGCGGUUUUUUAAGUCAGAUGUGAAAGCUCAGGGCUUAACCCUGAAAGUGCAUUUGAAACUGCUAGGCUUGAGUCCCGGAGAGGGAGGUGGAAUUCCCAGUGUAGAGGUGAAAUUCGUAGAUAUUGGGAGGAACACCGGUGGCGAAGGCGACCUCCUGGACGGUGACUGACGCUGAGACGCGAAAGCGUGGGUAGCAAACAGGAUUAGAUACCCUGGUAGUCC
RNAcentral lists this ribosomal RNA (794 nucleotides) under uncultured bacterium. RNAcentral describes it as "bacterial SSU rRNA". It matches the Rfam family "Bacterial small subunit ribosomal RNA", at positions 8 to 796 of the family's 1533-position model. The record is from RNAcentral.